GUCUAUGGCCAUGCCACUCUGAAUGUGCCUGAUCUCGUCUGAUCUCGGAAGCUAAGAAGGGUCAGGCUUGGUUAGUACUUGGAUGGGAGACCACCUAAGAAUACUAGAUGCUGUAGGCG
This 119-nucleotide ribosomal RNA is filed under the name Pteropus alecto (black flying fox). Lineage: Eukaryota; Metazoa; Chordata; Mammalia; Chiroptera; Pteropodidae. The record is from RNAcentral.